CAGAUAAUAGUUUAUUAAAAAUACUGACCUUGGGUGUCAAUGAACGCUAGACGCGUUAUCUGA
Molecule: transfer RNA, 63 nt
Filed under: Polypheretima elongata
Lineage: Eukaryota; Metazoa; Annelida; Clitellata; Crassiclitellata; Megascolecidae
Description: tRNA-Pro
Source: RNAcentral